UACGUAGGUGGCGAGCGUUAUCCGGAAUUACUGGGUGUAAAGGGUGUGUAGGCGGGAGUGCAAGUCAGACGUGAAAACUAUGGGCUCAACCCAUAACGUGCGUUUGAAACUGUGCUUCUUGAGAGUGGGAGAGGUAAACGGAAUUCCUGGUGUAGUAGUGAAAUGCGUAGAUAUCAGGAGGAACACCAGUGGCGAAGGCGGCCUGCUGGACGGUGACUGACGCUGAGGCUCGAAAGCGUGGGGAGCAAACAGG
This 253-nucleotide ribosomal RNA is filed under the name uncultured Oscillospiraceae bacterium. Its description in RNAcentral is "partial 16S ribosomal RNA". It matches the Rfam family "Bacterial small subunit ribosomal RNA", at positions 524 to 776 of the family's 1533-position model. Lineage: Bacteria; Bacillati; Bacillota; Clostridia; Eubacteriales; Oscillospiraceae. The record is from RNAcentral.